RNAcentral lists this long non-coding RNA (716 nucleotides) under Coturnix japonica (Japanese quail). RNAcentral describes it as "lncRNA (ENSCJPG00005001945.1)". Lineage: Eukaryota; Metazoa; Chordata; Aves; Galliformes; Phasianidae. The record is from RNAcentral.
AAACAUAUGUACAGGGGGCAUUUACAAUAUGGGGGGGGUAUGGGGGGAUUUAGGGUGGGGGGGUCUGUACAAUGGGGGGGUGCAUUGUACAGCAUGUACAGCCCCACAAUGGCCCGUGUUUCUACAAGAAACAGCCAAAAAUGGGGGCGGGGGGGGGCAACAGGGAGGUGUCAUGGCUGCCAUUGAGGUGUCAUGGCCGACAGUGGGGUGUCAUGGCCACCAUUGAGGUGUCAUGGUCACCAAUGGGGUGUCAUGGCCGCCAUUGAAGUGUCAUGGCUGCCAUUGAGGUGUCAUGGCCGCCAUUGGGGUGUCAUGGCCACCAUUGAGGUGUCAUGGCCGCCAAUGGGGUGUCAUGGCCGACAGUGGGGUGUCAUGGCUGACAAGGUGUCAUGGCCGACAAGGUGUCAUGGCCGCCAUUGAGGUGUCAUGGCCGCCAAUGGGGUGUCAUGGCCGCCAAGGUGUCAUGGCCGACAAGGUGUCAUGGCCGCCAUGAUGAUGUCCGCCAUGAUGUCCGCCAUGUUGUCCGCCAUGUUGUCCGCCAUGUUGUCCGCCCCGUUGUCUGCCAUGACACCCCGUUGUCGGCCACGUUGCCGUCAGUUGAGGGUCCCGCGGCAGCUGUCGGUGCGGCAGAGGCAGGGGAUCUUGGUGUCCUCGAUGGGGAACUUGUAGUCGUAGGUGAUCUCCUCGUUGACCCCGAUGGGCUGCUUCGAGUAGAU